Molecule: ribosomal RNA, 253 nt
Filed under: uncultured bacterium
Lineage: Bacteria
Description: partial 16S ribosomal RNA
Rfam family: Bacterial small subunit ribosomal RNA
Source: RNAcentral
UACAGAGACUGCAAGCGUUAUUCGGAUUCACUGGGCGUAAAGGGUGCGCAGGCGGCCAAGUGUGUGAGGCGUGAAGGCCUGGAGCUUAACUCCAGAAUUGCACCUCAAACUACUUGGCUAGAGCAUUGGAGAGGGUAGCAGAAUUCAUGGUGUAGCAGUGAAAUGCGUAGAUAUCAUGAGGAAUACCAGAGGCGAAGGCGGCUACCUGGACAAUUGCUGACGCUCAGGCACGAAAGCGUGGGGAGCAAAAGGG